GACGAACGCUGGCGGCGUGCUUAACACAUGCAAGUCGAGCGGUAAGGCCCUUUCGGGGUACGACGAGCGGCGAACGGGUGAGUAACACGUGGGUAACCGUCGCCCUCAGCUCUGGGAGUAAGCCCGGGAAACGUGGGUCUAAUACCGGAUAUGACCUCGUAUCGCAUGGUGCGGGGUGGAAAGUGUUCAGUGGCUGAGGAU
This 201-nucleotide ribosomal RNA is filed under the name uncultured bacterium. Its description in RNAcentral is "partial 16S ribosomal RNA". It matches the Rfam family "Bacterial small subunit ribosomal RNA", at positions 28 to 226 of the family's 1533-position model. The record is from RNAcentral.